GCAGCUUCCGCCACCUCCUCCUCUGCUUCCCCGCCUUCCACCAGCAACUCCAAUCUUCCUCCACCUCCUCAAGAUGCAUGGACUCUUGCUUCUCAGCGAUUACUUCCUCGCUGGAAGUCUCUUUCCCACUCUCACCUGUUGCCAAUUCCUAUUUCGAUAUCGAAAGUUAAUCAAGUGGAUGCAGCACGGCUAGAUAUUGAAAUGUCGGCCAUGUUGAAAGAACAGCUGGUUAAGGUUUUUGCUUUGAUGAAGCCAGGAAUGUUGU
This 265-nucleotide unclassified non-coding RNA is filed under the name Hevea brasiliensis (rubber tree). Lineage: Eukaryota; Viridiplantae; Streptophyta; Magnoliopsida; Malpighiales; Euphorbiaceae. The record is from RNAcentral.